AGUGAACGCUGGCGGUAGGCCUAACACAUGCAAGUCGAACGGCAGCACAGUAAGAGCUUGCUCUUACGGGUGGCGAGUGGCGGACGGGUGAGGAAUACAUCGGAAUCUACUUUUUCGUGGGGGAUAACGUAGGGAAACUUACGCUAAUACCGCAUACGACCUACGGGUGAAAGCAGGGGAUCUUCGGACCUUGCGCGAUUGAAUGAGCCGAUGUCGGAUUAGCUAGUUGGCGGGGUAAAGGCCCACCAAGGCGACGAUCCGUAGCUGGUCUGAGAGGAUGAUCAGCCACACUGGAACUGAGACACGGUCCAGACUCCUACGGGAGGCAGCAGUGGGGAAUAUUGGACAAUGGGCGCAAGCCUGAUCCAGCCAUACCGCGUGGGUGAAGAAGGCCUUCGGGUUGUAAAGCCCUUUUGUUGGGAAAGAAAAGCAGCAGGUUAAGACCCCGCUGUUCGGACGGGACCCAAAGAAUAAGCACCGGCUAACUGCGU
RNAcentral lists this ribosomal RNA (491 nucleotides) under uncultured bacterium. Its description in RNAcentral is "partial 16S ribosomal RNA". It matches the Rfam family "Bacterial small subunit ribosomal RNA", at positions 29 to 506 of the family's 1533-position model. The record is from RNAcentral.